UACGUAGGGUGCGAGCGUUGUCCGGAAUUAUUGGGCGUAAAGAGCUUGUAGGCGGUUUGUCGCGUCUGCUGUGAAAAUCCGGGGCUCAACCCCGGACUUGCAGUGGGUACGGGCAAUACUUGAGUGCUGUAGGGGAGACUGGAAUUCCUGGUGUAGCGGUGAAAUGCGCAGAUAUCAGGAGGAACACCAAUGGCGAAGGCAGGUCUCCGGGCAGUUACUGACGCUGAGGAGCGAAAGCAUGGGUAGCGAACAGGAUUAGAUACCCCCGUA
RNAcentral lists this ribosomal RNA (270 nucleotides) under uncultured prokaryote. Its description in RNAcentral is "partial 16S ribosomal RNA". It matches the Rfam family "Bacterial small subunit ribosomal RNA", at positions 524 to 792 of the family's 1533-position model. The record is from RNAcentral.